CGGUUGAUCCUGCCGGAGGCUAUUGCUAUCAGGGUUUGACUAAGCCAUGCGAGUCGAGAGGUGAAAGACCUCGGCAUACUGCUCAGUAACACGUGGAUAAUCUGCCCUCAGGUGAGGAAUAAUCCCGGGAAACUGGGGCUAAUGCCUCAUAGGAGACGGGUGCUGGAAUGCUCUGUCUCCGAAAGGUCCGCCGCCUGAGGAUGAGUCUGCGUCCGAUUAGGUUGUUGUUGGGGUAACGGCCCACCAAGCCUUUGAUCGGUACGGGUUGUGGGAGCAAGAGCCCGGAGAUGGAUUCUGAGACAUGAAUCCAGGCCCUACGGGGCGCAGCAGGCGCGAAAACUUUACAAUGCGAGCAAUCGUGAUAAGGAAACCCUGAGUGCCUGUCAACGCAGGCUGUUCUGGUGUUUAGUCAGCACCAGGAGAAAGGGCGGGGCAAGACCGGUGCCAGCCGCCGCGGUAAUACCGGCUGCUCGAGUGAUAGCCACUUUUACUGGGCUUAAAGCGUUCGUAGCUUGGUCGUUAAGUCUCUGGGGAAAUCUUUUGGCUCAACCAAAAGACGUCUCAGAGAAACUGGCGACCUUGGGACCGGGAGAGGUAAGACGUACUUCGGGGGUAGGAGUGAAAUCUUGUAAUCCCCGAGGGACGACCGAUGGCGAAGGCAUCUUACCAGAACGGCUCCGACAGUGAGGGACGAAAGCUGGGGGAGCAAACCGGAUUAGAUACCCGGGUAGUCCCAGCCGUAAACGAUGUGCGUUAGGUGUGUCAGUGACCACGAGUCACUGAGGUGCCGAAAGGGAAACCGUGAAACGCACCGCCUGGGAAGUACGGUCGCAAGGCUGAAACUUAAAGGAAUUGGCGGGGGAGCAC
This 867-nucleotide ribosomal RNA is filed under the name uncultured archaeon. RNAcentral's name for it is "bacterial SSU rRNA". It matches the Rfam family "Archaeal small subunit ribosomal RNA", at positions 5 to 879 of the family's 1478-position model. The record is from RNAcentral.